Molecule: long non-coding RNA, 418 nt
Filed under: Numida meleagris (helmeted guineafowl)
Lineage: Eukaryota; Metazoa; Chordata; Aves; Galliformes; Numididae
Description: lncRNA (ENSNMEG00000015599.1)
Source: RNAcentral
UUUUUUUUUUUUUACCUGCACUGCAGAUGUUGAUGGUUUAACUCUGCCUUUGUUUAAUCAGGUUUCACGCCAUGCUGGGUAGAGUUGGCCUCAGUUUACACCUGAGACCAAAAACUUGUUGCUGCUCUGGGUCAGGAUGAGCGUUUUGAGAUCUGUGAUUGAGCUGACUGAGAAAUCUGAAUACUGAACCAGCUGUGGAAGCCAGAUGCAAAAUUCAUUUACCCCAAUCUAUCAGAAGAAAAGCAAGAGCUUCUGUUAUCUGCUAUACGUGAAGUAGUUUAAAUGUGGGAGAACUGCGACAACCAAGUCUGCAAAACCUCCCUGUAACUUUAUCCAGUUUCAGCAAAGGGAGCAUUGCCACCUGUUCACACUUCGGGCAUUUUGGUUGAAAGGGAAAGAGGGAUUUGUUGCUGCGGAC